Molecule: non-coding RNA, 45 nt
Filed under: Schistosoma mansoni
Lineage: Eukaryota; Metazoa; Platyhelminthes; Trematoda; Strigeidida; Schistosomatidae
Source: RNAcentral
AUAUGGCUGACGAGUUCAAAAUAGGACGAAACGCGCAUCCUAGAU